This 495-nucleotide ribosomal RNA is filed under the name uncultured bacterium. RNAcentral's name for it is "partial 16S ribosomal RNA". It matches the Rfam family "Bacterial small subunit ribosomal RNA", at positions 28 to 507 of the family's 1533-position model. The record is from RNAcentral.
GACGAACGCUGGCGGCGUGCCUAAUACAUGCAAGUAGAACGCUGAAGGAGGAUCUUGCUCUUCUGGAUGAGUUGCGAACGGGUGAGUAACGCGUAGGUAACCUGCCUGGUAGCGGGGGAUAACUAUUGGAAACGAUAGCUAAUACCGCAUAAGAGUAGAUGUUGCAUGACAUUUACUUAAAAGGUGCAAUUGCAUCACUACCAGAUGGACCUGCGUUGUAUUAGCUAGUUGGUGGGGUAACGGCUUACCAAGGCGACGAUACAUAGCCGACCUGAGAGGGUGAUCGGCCACACUGGGACUGAGACACGGCCCAGACUCCUACGGGAGGCAGCAGUAGGGAAUCUUCGGCAAUGGACGGAAGUCUGACCGAGCAACGCCGCGUGAGUGAAGAAGGUUUUCGGAUCGUAAAGCUCUGUUGUAAGAGAAGAACGAGUGUGAGAGUGGAAAGUUCACACUGUGACGGUAUCUUACCAGAAAGGGACGGCUAACUACGUG